Molecule: long non-coding RNA, 2877 nt
Filed under: Daphnia magna
Lineage: Eukaryota; Metazoa; Arthropoda; Branchiopoda; Diplostraca; Daphniidae
Description: uncharacterized LOC116927714
Source: RNAcentral
GUUUGUUCUGAACAGCUAAAGCCAUUAACCCCCCGCCCUCCCCAAAAAAGGGGCCAAUGCUAACUUUGUCAUAUGCGUAAAACUUACGUCGGAAAACAGGUAUGUACAAAUGUAGCCGUCGACUCUAGCGAAUAGACGUUGAACAAAAGGAGAACGGCCUAGUAAAAAGGUGAGUCAGUUGUUAUGCUAAGAUUGAAUUAUGUUAACAAACUAGUCGAAACGCUCGUUCGAAAAGAGCUUGAUGCCCAGUGAAACAUUUAAUCUUAUCAGACGCAUUGUUGUCACGCAGCUCCCGUUUUAACAGUGAAAUGAUUACCCCUCCCCCAAAAAAAAAGAAAAAAAACCCAAGCAAAAAAACCAGAGUCGACGAGAUAAUGGAACUGCGCGUUGCGGCAUUCUGCAUUUUAAAAAAAUAAAUAACAACCCCACCGUACAUGCAUGAUGCUCACGUUAUAAUCUAAUGCAAGUGGCAACGUGAGACGUAGGAUGCGUCGAUUGCUCGCCUAGCUGGAUUGCGUCUGCUCUUAGUGCAGGAUCAACAAGGUAAACGCGCUACUAUCGGGACACAGGCCAUCCAUAAAGAGUGGAUUACGCACGGCUGAAAUAGUCCGUUUGCAAUGCAUGAAGAACCCCAUUUCCCACCGGGAGCCUCCCCCCCCCUUCUUUGCUACGGUGGCGCUACUGAUGAAAAAACAAAAAAAAAACAAAAAAAAUGGGCGAACCUCGAAAGCCGCCAACGAAGUCAUGAGCCGCCCUCGUCCGCAGGACUCGAGUUGCUGGUGACACGCGCCGACCUAAUGGAUAGAGGGUAUAGAUUUUCAUCCAACUGUGCUAAGCGUUUUGUUCUCUCGCUCUAUAUAGUCUACUCGUUGCACUGCUUAAGACUCACCCCCCUCCCUGCCAUGGAACUAUUGUCAAUUCAAUUUCAUUUUAAUUGUUUUGUGUUUUUUGUUUUUUGUUUUUUUUUACCUGGUUUAAGUGAUUUGUUGAAAAGUAGGCCUACACGAUAACUUAGAUUGAAUGAAAUACUUGUUCAGUCAGUUCUCACUUUCUUUUGCCAUUCUUUCUUCUAUGUGUCAUCAAUUUUAUUUAUUUAUUAUUUAUUUUUAAAGCUGGAUUUGUUUUUCUCGUUUGUUUGCUCCGAGGCUUUUCUCUUUUCUUUCGGUUUUAACGUAAGAUUGUUCGACUACACGUCGUGUUCUAAGAAUGUGUGCAUCACGUACGAAUUGUGGCCUAUUUAACCCAUCUAGUACGUGUGCCCGCGAGUUAACACACUAGUUGAAAACCAAUUAGAAAUUGCAAACUGUAGACCUAUACAGUAGUUUGCCGCAAAUGACAUGAAGGCAAAUUCAACGUCAAUGUCAUUCAGGUGAUGCAAAGAAGUGAACAGUGAUGUUUAGAAACAAACCAUCGAGUCAUAAAGUGGCAUAGCGCUUAACCGCAAUCUACUCUUGUGACUCGCGUAAAAAAAGGGGGAAAAAAAAAGGGAGGAUACGAGCCUGACGACGAGUGAUAUUAUGGAAAUGAUGAAAAAUUCUGACGAGUGGGACAGCUGGACUCAAGUGGUGAAUGGGCGGGUCCAUUUCUGCGCUGCUGUGUGAAGUUCCGAGGCCACCAGAUGGGCCACACAAUGGAGUGCUACGUGUAAAAAAAAAAACCAAACCGAUGACCAUUUUUUCUCGAUUUUUUUUUCUUUCUUUCUUUUUUUUUUUUACCAGUGUGUUUCACAGAUUCACAAGCACAUCACUCCCUUUUUUUUUCUCCGUUCCCUCUUUUUUUCUUUUUUUUUUAUUCAUCUCUUUCACUCGAUCACUUGUCCUCACGUUUGUGGCACUUAACAACUGCACGUGCGGUCUGCCCUUACUGGCCUGAAUGCAGACGAGAUGCCGGUCCUUUCAACCCCCAACUUCUCAGUCCCUGACAGCCCAACUUCUCAGUCCUCACGUAGGGUAAUGUAUGGUACACUCCAUAGGCUACGCAGUACAAUCACACGCGCUGGAAGCACAUUACAACAGAGCAGUCGAGCCUAUGAUGAAGGGAUACACCUCUUAUUACGAUUGCCGAACGGACAUUUCAACUAACUCAAUAAGUAAAGAUCUAAUUGCUUCAGAGUUCUGAGACAUUACAGAUUAAACAUUGAAUAAUCAAAAAUGAGCCAUAAAAUGAGCGAUAUUUGACUGAAUCCGAUUGACCUUUAGUUUUUCUAUUCGUUGCCGAAACAAUAGUCCUUCGACUGCAAGUGGUAGCCCCGCAUACGCCAUGGUAUAAACAGUGAGCCAUUAUGCCAUUAUGGCGUAUAUAUACCGAGGCACAGAUCCGUUUGGUAAUCUCUGUAUGACAAGGAUCCCCUUUUUUCUUUUGUCGUCCAGACUAAAAAACGAGUUCUCAAAGGUUUUUUCUUAUUAUUUUUUUUUUUUUUCAAAAUGAAAAAUAUUAAAAAUCUCCUCCACCCGUGUAUGGAUUACUCCAUGUAACGGGGGGAUAACGCACAAUACGCCGCUGGCGGAUGGUACAGUUCCGUAUAGUAAAGGCUAUAUACUGUACGUGUAGAAAAAUUGGUGGCCGCUUUCAGUUUCCAUACCCCUUUUUCUUUUCUUUUUUUUUACGCUGGCAGCAGUGCGUAUACCAGCUUUAAUAACCCCUUUCGAUGAGAAAAAGGAGAACGUUGGUCCUGCCGGUUUGAGCUAUACUUGUCGGUUCAUCAAGCGGAGCGCUUGUUUGAAGAGGGGAAAGGGAUUGAUGAAUCUCACACUAAAGCGCAAGAUAAUAUGGGCAAGUAUAUCGUCGGGUGGGUUUCCCUACUUUCGGAAGCGACUGUGUAAGCGCUUGCAAUUGUCUCCGCACCCAUUGACAAACAAUACAAUGUAUAAGCUCGUC